Molecule: long non-coding RNA, 1511 nt
Organism: Gorilla gorilla gorilla (western lowland gorilla)
Lineage: Eukaryota; Metazoa; Chordata; Mammalia; Primates; Hominidae
Exons: 3
Source: RefSeq, a predicted model, not a curated record
AGUGUCCCUCCCAGCCUGUGAGCUUCUAGAAGGCAUUGCAACCCGGCACAGGAGCUGACACAAAUAUUCAGGAACAAGCAAGUCCUCGAAGUCUCAUGUAGGGGAAAGAUCUUGAGAUCUGGAGGUGAAGGAGUGGCCCUAACUGGCCCUAAACACUUCAGGUGCCCCUGGGCAUGUGGUUUCAUGGCUCUGAGCCUUGAUUUCUUCUCUGGGUCUUCCUCUGUCACCCAGGCUGCAGUGCAGUGGUGCAAUCAUGGCUCACCGCAGCCUCAGCCUCCUGGGAUCAAGGGAUCCUCCCACCUCAGCACCCCGAGUAGCUGGGACCACAGGCGGAUGCCACAGCAUCUGGCUGUUCGUAUAUUUUGUAGACAGGGUUUCACCAUGUUGGCCAGGCUGGUCUCGAAUUCCUGGGCUCAAAUGAUCCACCUGCCUCAGCCUCCCAAAGUGCUAGGAUUACAGGAGUGACCCACAGUGCCCAGUACCCCCUUUACCUCUGAGCAAUCCAUCUCUUUCCUUGGGGGCACCCCAUGAUCUAGACACCGCCCACCUUGUUCUGCCUUGGCCAAAAUACCACCUAACUGCCCCCACCUAUGCCAGGUGCCCCUCCCCCACCCUCCUCCACCCUUGGCUGAGUCCCACUUGGCUGGUGCCCAGGACAGGGACAGUCCCAGCCCUUCCAGCCCAUCUCCCCACAUCAGUACACUCCGGAGAGCCAGCCAAGAGUAGAUUCUUUAUUCAUUUCUCUUUUUUUCUUAAAAAAAAAAAGUAUUCAUUUGGUAUAAAAAAUAAAUAUUUUAAAUAUGACAUUGAAUAAAUAAAAAUAAUCUGUCAGUAUGAAACAUCCCCACAGGGUACAUUCAUCAAAGAGGAAUUUGUCACCCAAGGCCAUGUGCUUUUCAGUGGAAAGGAAGGAGGGAAACCUCUAAGGCCGCAUGGUGGGCCCACGGAGCUAGCACGUGGGCGGGACUGAAGGCUGGAUGCCGGGAUUGGGGUGGGGAACUAGAGAUGAUUGUAAGGCAGGAACAUCUGUACCAUCUGCAGGGAAAUGCUACCUCCCCGGUUGCCAGAGCUCCAACCCCACACACUAUGUCUACUCUGGAGAGCCGGCAAGGCAGAGCGGGACUGGCUGGGUCAGGGUGGAAGUGCCCCAAGUCAGGGACAAGGAGGACAAUGGGGACGAUGGGGAGGAGAGACAAGUAAACUAGCAGUGCUUUUUUAAAAAAUGUUUAAAGAAUAAAUAAGGGCCCGGAGACGUCUCUCUUGGUAAACUCUCUCUUCCUCCGGCCAGGCACAGGUGUGGUCCACACCAGCAGAUAAAAAGGGAAGAGAAACCCAGCUCCCGGCCUGGCAGAGCUGUUUCACGCAAAGGCUCUGUGAUUCAGUGAUGCUGUGCAGGGUGGACGCCAAGCUGCCGGACGGGAUCUGGAGGGAGCACUGAGGAUGGGUCCCAUGGGGCCAAGUCCAGGCUGGGCGGGAGAGCGACUCAGAGCCAGGGUCGCAAGGUGGGCCUG